UACGGAGGGUGCGAGCGUUGUCCGGAAUCACUGGGCGUAAAGGGCGCGUAGGCGGCCGUUUGCGUCGGAUGCGAAAGCCCGGGGCUCAACCUCGGAACGGCAUUCGAUACGGGACGGCUGGAGACCGGGAGAGGAGUGUGGAAUAGCCAGUGUAGAGGUGAAAUUCGUAGAUAUUGGCUGGAACACCGGUGGCGAAAGCGGCUCUCUGGCCCGGUUCUGACGCUGAGGCGCGAAAGCGUGGGGAGCAAACAGG
RNAcentral lists this ribosomal RNA (253 nucleotides) under uncultured bacterium. RNAcentral describes it as "partial 16S ribosomal RNA". It matches the Rfam family "Bacterial small subunit ribosomal RNA", at positions 524 to 776 of the family's 1533-position model. The record is from RNAcentral.